UUUAGCCUAAUGUUUUUGAGCCCCAACAACCAUAAUUGCAGACCUGGUAAUCAUAUUCACUGAUGACGUCAAAAGGGUUUCUAUGACACAACAGCCGCAAGCUAAAUACCGU
RNAcentral lists this small RNA (112 nucleotides) under Yersinia frederiksenii. RNAcentral's name for it is "PepN 5' UTR thermometer". It matches the Rfam family "PepN 5' UTR thermometer", at positions 26 to 136 of the family's 136-position model. From Rfam's summary of the family: Position upstream of pepN gene responsible for amino acid processing. Lineage: Bacteria; Pseudomonadati; Pseudomonadota; Gammaproteobacteria; Enterobacterales; Yersiniaceae. The record is from RNAcentral.